UAGGGAAUCUUCGGCAAUGGACGAAAGUCUGACCGAGCAACGCCGCGUGAGUGAAGAAGGUUUUCGGAUCGUAAAACUCUGUUGUUAGAGAAGAACAAGGACGUUAGUAACUGAACGUCCCCUGACGGUAUCUAACCAGAAAGCCACGGCUAACUACGUGCCAGCAGCCGCGGUAAUACGUAGGUGGCAAGCGUUGUCCGGAUUUAUUGGGCGUAAAGCGAGCGCAGGCGGUUUCUUAAGUCUGAUGUGAAAGCCCCCGGCUCAACCGGGGAGGGUCAUUUGAAACUUGGAUGCUUGAGUCCAGAAGAGGAGAGUGGAAUUCCAUGUGUAGCGGUGAAAUGCGUAGAUAUAUGGAGGAACACCAGUGGCGAAGGCGGCUCUCUGGUCUGUAACUGCCGCUGAGGCUCGAACGCGUGGGGAGCAAACAGG
RNAcentral lists this ribosomal RNA (429 nucleotides) under Gemmatimonadota bacterium. RNAcentral describes it as "Gemmatimonadetes bacterium partial 16S ribosomal RNA". It matches the Rfam family "Bacterial small subunit ribosomal RNA", at positions 355 to 776 of the family's 1533-position model. Lineage: Bacteria; Pseudomonadati; Gemmatimonadota. The record is from RNAcentral.